UGGGGGAUAUUGCACAAUGGGCGAAAGCCUGAUGCAGCGACGCCGCGUGGGGGAUGAAGGCCUUCGGGUUGUAAACUUCUUUUGCUCUGAACAAGGCAUGCUAAUGGGUGUGUUGAGUGUAGGGGUUGAUUAGCGCCGGCUAACUACGUGCCAGCAGCCGCGGUAAUACGUAGGGCGCGAGCGUUGUCCGGAAUUAUUGGGCGUAAAGGGCUUGUAGGUGGCUGGUUGCGUCUGUCGUGAAAGCUCAUGGCUUAACUGUGGGUUUGCGGUGGGUACGGGCUGGUUUGAGUGCAGUAGGGGAGGCUGGAAUUCCUGGUGUAGCGGAGGAAUGCGCAGAUAUCAGGAGGAAUACCGGUGGCGAAGGCGGGUCUCUGGGCUGUUACUGACACUGAGGAGCGAAAGCAUGGGGUGCGAACAGG
Molecule: ribosomal RNA, 419 nt
Filed under: bacterium
Lineage: Bacteria
Description: partial 16S ribosomal RNA
Rfam family: Bacterial small subunit ribosomal RNA
Source: RNAcentral